UACGUAGGGGGCAAGCGUUAUCCGGAAUCAUUGGGCGUAAAGCGCGUGUAGGCGGUUCAGGAAGUCCGCUCUGAAAGCCCAGGGCUCAACCCUGGGAGGCGGGUGGAUACUACUGAACUAGAGUACGGAAGAGGAGAUUGGAAUUCCUGGUGUAGCGGUGAAAUGCGCAGAUAUCAGGAGGAACACCAACAGCGAAGGCAGAGCUCUGGGACGUAACUGACGCUGAGACGCGAAAGCGUGGGGAGCAAACAGG
RNAcentral lists this ribosomal RNA (253 nucleotides) under uncultured bacterium. Its description in RNAcentral is "partial 16S ribosomal RNA". It matches the Rfam family "Bacterial small subunit ribosomal RNA", at positions 524 to 776 of the family's 1533-position model. The record is from RNAcentral.